Molecule: transfer RNA, 73 nt
Filed under: Toxocara canis (dog roundworm)
Lineage: Eukaryota; Metazoa; Nematoda; Chromadorea; Rhabditida; Toxocaridae
Rfam family: tRNA
About the family: Transfer RNA (tRNA) molecules are approximately 80 nucleotides in length. Their secondary structure includes four short double-helical elements and three loops (D, anti-codon, and T loops).
Source: Rfam by way of RNAcentral
GUGGCAGUAGCUCAGUGGUAGAGCCUCCGCUUUAUAUGUGGAAAAACCUGCGUUCGAUUUUCCGGCUGCUUUC